Non-coding RNA from Gasterosteus aculeatus aculeatus (three-spined stickleback), 1506 nucleotides. NCBI's taxonomy places the organism in Eukaryota, Metazoa, Chordata, Actinopteri, Perciformes, Gasterosteidae. The record is from RefSeq and is a predicted model, not a curated record.
AUAAUACUGUGUGGGAACCUUCUGGUGCUGGGGGUCAAAAUGAGCAUGUCAUUCUUAUACCUUUCUUUGUCUGUGGCCAGAAUGUUGAGGUGGAAAAACAGUCUCACUUUGCCAUCAUCAACAUGAAGACUGCAACGGCGGGAGUGCUGCUGGUCCUGUCUCAGGUGGACAGAGUGCUGGAUGAAGUGGACUGGCUGAUUGUCCGAAAGAAAAGUCCUGUGACAAAUCUGCUGCUGGCGAGGCCACCCAGACCGCAGGCCAGCAGGACCCAACAGAGAAAGCCGUGACGCUGCAGAUCGGGACCCUUUUGACUGCUUUAAAUGAGCUGGUCCAGACGGCCCUGCUGCCCGGGACCUGCACCAUCACCCCGCUGCGGGUUUAUUUUUAAAAAACUGUUUUCUUUAUUAGAACAGAGAAUUUGGUGGUAGAGGAGAAGAUGACAAGAAGAAAAAGAAAAGAAAUGAAGUGAACGCUGCUCCCUCUGUAAGGAUUUCCCUCCUAUAAUGUGAUUAACGAUAUACUGUAACAUGUGGACCUCAAACAAAUCUACAUUUUUAAGUAUUAAAGCAGUAUGAAAAAUACCUCAUCACACUCUCAAAGAAAUCAAAGAUUUGUGUGAACUACGUUGCCUGUGGUGCUUAACCGAAUGCUAUGAAGAGAGUCGUACAACACACCACGGAACAAAACGCUUGACGAGUGCAGGCCUGUCCAGGUAAACCUGAUGCAGUACAUGAAGCUGAGCACCUCAAGGGAUUUCCGCAUCAACUCUGCCACUCUGGACGCAGCGCUACAAGAGCAGGACACCAGUCAGGAGGUAAGUGUGGGCUUCUUUUACUUGAUCACGCGAGUCACUGAAGCGGACUUGUCCUCAGUCUCUCCCCACGUGGGAGGUUUUGAAUGCCUCUGUUGUGCCUUUUUUAACACACUCCGCUGGCUCAGAUCAAUUCGUCAAGUCUCUUCUUUGGAUCCUUUUCAGGCCAACGUGUCACAGGGGGCCGAGGAGACACAAGAACCCCGUCAGAAGAAGAGAAAGCAGUGAGCCGAGGCUCAACUCGGUUUGGAUCGCACACCUGCGGCUUCCUCCCGGAUCUUGUCCCGGCAGUUGGGUCCUAUCUCCCUUUGUUUAGAGAGCCUUUGGUAGCGUUGAGGAUUUGGUAAAUGUCCAAUGCCUCACCUGUGGAAAGUUUGCACAAAGUUUGUUGAACUUGGUUUUCUUACAGUUCAAUUUAUUAAGUGUUUUUUUUUUCUUUUUAAUGUCACAUCUUGCAUGGAAUGUUACCACCACUGACCGGUAUCAGAUAUGUUUGAUUAAUUCCCUUAAAUGAUAAGCUACAUUGUAUGUCAUUUCACUCUUUUCUGCCAUGUCACUUACAGCUCUGUAAGGUAACAAAUUGAUUAAUUUACAGAAAUAUUUAUAUUUUAUUCGUAACAUACCCUGCUGUUUUUAAAGCACAUUCUUCAUAUCAUAUAUUUGGAAAAAUACAUAUUACAACCCGUUAAAAGACA